RNAcentral lists this ribosomal RNA (327 nucleotides) under Mimetus sp. GH1090. Its description in RNAcentral is "partial 12S ribosomal RNA". The record is from RNAcentral. Lineage: Eukaryota; Metazoa; Arthropoda; Arachnida; Araneae; Mimetidae.
AUUAAAAUAAAAUAGGUAGUAUUCAAAUAACAAGAAACCUUUAUAAAAUGGCGGCAUUUCAUCUUACUAGAGGAACAUGUUAUUUAAUCGAUAACACACGAUUAAUUUCACUUAUUUUAAAAUUUUAUAUACCUCCAUCCAUAAAUUAAUCUUAAUACAUUUUUUAAAUAAAAUUAUAGAAGGGUAGGUAAAGGCGUAAACAAAAAAUAAGAUUUAAAUGUGUUACAUUAAAAAUUAUUUAAGGAUUUUUAUUUUAAUAUAAUAUGAAAAAGGAUUUAGAAGUAAAUUUAACAUAAUAUUUUAACUUGAAUAAGAAAAUAAAUGUGC